RNAcentral lists this ribosomal RNA (228 nucleotides) under uncultured bacterium. RNAcentral's name for it is "partial 16S ribosomal RNA". It matches the Rfam family "Bacterial small subunit ribosomal RNA", at positions 568 to 796 of the family's 1533-position model. The record is from RNAcentral.
UGCGCAGGCGGGCUUGUAAGUCAGUGGUGAAAUACUGCCGCUCAACGGUAGAACUGCCAUUGAUACUGCAAGUCUUGAAUAUGGUUGAGGUAGGCGGAAUGUGUCGUGUAGCGGUGAAAUGCAUAGAUAUGACACAGAACGCCGAUUGCGAAGGCAGCUUACUAAGCCAUUAUUGACGCUGGGGCACGAAAGCGUGGGGAGCGAACAGGAUUAGUACCCUGGUAGUCC